AACGAACGCUGGCGGCAGGCUUAACACAUGCAAGUCGAACGGGUGUAGCAAUACAUCAGUGGCAGACGGGUGAGUAACACGUGGGAACCUUCCUAGGGGUACGGAACAACUCAGGGAAACUUGAGCUAAUACCGUAUACGUCCGUGAGGAGAAAGAUUUAUCGCCCUUAGACGGGCCCGCGUCGGAUUAGCUAGUUGGUGGGGUAACGGCCUACCAAGGCGACGAUCCGUAGCUGAUCUGAGAGGAUGAUCAGCCACACUGGGACUGAGACACGGCCCAGACUCCUACGGGAGGCAGCAGUGGGGAGUCUUGGACAAUGGGAGCAAGCCUGAUCCAGCCAUGCCGCGUGAGUGAAGAAGGCCUUCGGGUUGUAAAGCUCGUUUGCCAGGGACGAUAAUGACGGUACCUGGAGAAUAAGCCCCGGCAAACUUCGUGCCAGCCGCCGCCGUAA
This 451-nucleotide ribosomal RNA is filed under the name uncultured bacterium. Its description in RNAcentral is "partial 16S ribosomal RNA". It matches the Rfam family "Bacterial small subunit ribosomal RNA", at positions 29 to 523 of the family's 1533-position model. The record is from RNAcentral.